CCGGAUGGCAGGGGGGUGGGGGCGCGGGAGCGGCCCCCGGAAAGCGCCGCUAACGGCGCGGGUGCGCUCUCGCUCGGCGCUGCUAAAACGGGCUUGCUCCGAGGGGCCGGAGAUGCUGUUGCUGCCGAGUGAAAAUACUUUCAGUAAGUGAUGAAAAAAUUUUCCACUUUAUUCGGUUGUUGGCUGGGGCCCAGUGCACUGACGUCCCAGAGUUCUUCGGGGAAGAGCCGGGAGGUUUCCAGCAUCCUCCGACCUGAGUGUCGCCGGGAGAAGAGUUAAGACCGAGCCUGAACAUUGUAACGCACCUGGCGGCGCUUGAGAAAGUGACAAAGGCACAGCUCAGGUGCGUGGCUCAGGGACUGAUGCCCGGGCCCAAAAUUGUGUCCAUUAAGGGACUGGUAAUGGCUGGGCUUAGCCCGGGAAGGUUCCCCGAAGAAGGCGAUUUGAGGGGAGGCUGUGGCUGCGCGGCCUAGGACAGGAAGAGCAGUCCGGGACGGGCCGAGCGCGUGGACGGCGCUCCCACCGGCUGCCUGGGGACAGGAGGCAGCAAAGGCGCCAGCAGCCCUCAGGGGUUCUCGGGUGCGAACCACGCAGGGCCUGUGGCUCCUGGUCCCAGCUAGUCAGCCAAUGAAAGAUAGACGCAGGGGACCCUCCCCACCGCCUCCACCUCCAGCCAUUGUAAACUUACUCACCUGCGGAGGAAUUGCCACUGGAAACAUUCUGGGACACAUGGCCAGAGGCUUCUCUUGGGGGUUGCUUUCCCAGGAGCCCACGACAAGUGUCUAUCAAGGACCAAAACACCAGGAGCGUUCGAUCAGUCAUUCUUUGGGAUCAGAGCGCCUGCUGCUUGUAAAGCCAUACCAACGCCAUUACCAGCGGUGAGGGGGCAGAGAGGGAAAGUAAGAAGGACAGAGGAAGAGCCAUGCUUCUGCCCUGAGCAUCUUAGAAGGGUUUGUGCCCCUCUUGUACGUCCCGCGUCAUGCUCCCUGCUGUAAAGAUGUGCACUGUUCCUACAGCCACGUGUGGGUGCGGAUCCCCUAAAAUGUGCCUCGUCCAAACUGAACUGUGCUGUCCAUGUAAGAAUCACACUGGAUUUGAAAGACUUAGUGAAGGAAAGUGACAGCUCGUGGACACCUUUAACACUUAUUAUGUGUUAGAAGAAUAUUGGAGAGCCACUGAAUUAAAAUCAAAUACAUUAUUAAAAUUAA
Long non-coding RNA from Hyaena hyaena (striped hyena), 1208 nucleotides. RefSeq lists it as uncharacterized. The transcript is spliced from 2 exons. NCBI's taxonomy places the organism in Eukaryota, Metazoa, Chordata, Mammalia, Carnivora, Hyaenidae. The record is from RefSeq and is a predicted model, not a curated record.